GUACACGCUGUGACUAGCAUAUCAAUAAGCGGAGGAAAAGAAACUAACAAGGAUUCCCCUAGUAACGGCGAGUGAAGCGGGAAGAGCUCAAAUUUGAAAUCUUAAAGGGUUUCCCUUUACGAAUUGUAGUUUAAAGAAGUGUUUUUCUGUUGAGGUUUUGGUAAAAGUUCUUUGGAAUAGGACAUCAUAGAGGGUGAGAAUCCCGUAUUUGACCUUUACUUUCAACUUUGUGAUACACUUUCAAAGAGUCGGAUUGUUUGGGAAUGCAGUCCAAAAUGGGUGGUAAAUUUCAUCUAAAGCUAAAUAUUAGCGAGAGACCGAUAGCGAACAAGUACCGUGAGGGAAAGAUGAAAAGAACUUUGAAAAGAGAGUUAAACAGUACGUGAAAUUGUCAAAAGGGAAGCGUUUGACACCAGUGUUGUUUUUCUGAAAAUCAAUUAAAGAACUGUUUAUGCUAAGUUGUUUAGACUUUAUCAGCUAACUGUUUAGUUUUGAGCUUUUCUUUAAUGCACUUUUCAGUUAACAAGUCAACAUCAAUUUCUUUUGCUGUAAAAAAGCUUGAGGAAGGUGGCUUGAGAUUCGUCUUAAGUGUUUAUAGCCUCUUGCCUAUGCAGUCGGAGAGAUUGAGGUCUGCAGCGUAGAUCCUUCGGGGCUAAAUGCAUUUGUGCUAAGUUAUAGCAUUUUAUAGACAACUUGUUGACUAUGAUUUGUCUUGUAGCUUACUCGCUUAUGUUAUUUUACCUACGCUUAGGAUGUUGAGUCGUAGAGCACGCAG
RNAcentral lists this ribosomal RNA (775 nucleotides) under uncultured Neocallimastigales. Its description in RNAcentral is "partial large subunit ribosomal RNA". It matches the Rfam family "Eukaryotic large subunit ribosomal RNA", at positions 22 to 628 of the family's 3401-position model. The record is from RNAcentral. Lineage: Eukaryota; Fungi; Neocallimastigomycota; Neocallimastigomycetes; Neocallimastigales.